Molecule: ribosomal RNA, 497 nt
Filed under: uncultured bacterium
Lineage: Bacteria
Description: partial 16S ribosomal RNA
Rfam family: Bacterial small subunit ribosomal RNA
Source: RNAcentral
GAUGAACGCUGGCGGCGUGCCUAAUACAUGCAAGUCGAGCGAACAGAUGAGGAGCUUGCUCCUCUGACGUUAGCGGCGGACGGGUGAGUAACACGUGGAUAACCUACCUAUAAGACUGGGAUAACUUCGGGAAACCGGAGCUAAUACCGGAUAAUAUAUUGAACCGCAUGGUUCAAUAGUGAAAGACGGUUUUGCUGUCACUUAUAGAUGGAUCCGCGCCGCAUUAGCUAGUUGGUAAGGUAACGGCUUACCAAGGCAACGAUGCGUAGCCGACCUGAGAGGAUGAUCGGCCACGCUGGAACUGAGACACGGUCCAGACUCCUACGGGAGGCAGCAGUAGGGAAUCUUCCGCAAUGGGCGAAAGCCUGACGGAGCAACGCCGCGUGAGUGAUGAAGGUCUUCGGAUCGUAAAACUCUGUUAUUAGGGAAGAACAAAUGUGUAAGUAACUAUGCACGUCUUGACGGUACCUAAUCAGAAAGCCACGGCUAACUACGUG